GUUCUGUUUGUUAUUUUGCAAAAGAAAAUAGUAUUUACAGGUGGCUUCAUGGCAGGAUUUUACAGUGUUUACAUGCACAUGCAUUUUAUAAGUGUUCUAUAUGUGUGAAAUAGUAUUUCCAGCUGGAAAGUGUUGGCCGGCGCAGAAGGCCUGGCCCUUUUCUGGUUCCCAUGAUGUUGCCCACACUGCUAGACUACAGUUUAGUGUUGCUUUGUAUCAUGAGGCCAAGAAGUUCCAUGUUGUUUGUAAAUAGAAUAAUUGAAAAAGCAAUAAACAUUUAUUG
RNAcentral lists this long non-coding RNA (283 nucleotides) under Bos taurus (domestic cattle). Its description in RNAcentral is "long non-coding RNA NONBTAT026013". The record is from RNAcentral. Lineage: Eukaryota; Metazoa; Chordata; Mammalia; Artiodactyla; Bovidae.